Molecule: ribosomal RNA, 469 nt
Filed under: uncultured Smithella sp.
Lineage: Bacteria; Pseudomonadati; Thermodesulfobacteriota; Syntrophia; Syntrophales; Smithellaceae
Description: bacterial SSU rRNA
Rfam family: Bacterial small subunit ribosomal RNA
Source: RNAcentral
ACGGGGGCCCGCACAAGCGGUGGAGCAUGUGGUUUAAUUCGAUGCAACGCGAAGAACCUUACCUGGGCUUGACAUCCCGGGAAUCCCUUGGAAACAAGGGAGUGCCCUUCGGGGAACCUGGAGACAGGUGCUGCAUGGCUGUCGUCAGCUCGUGUCGUGAGAUGUAGGGUUAAGUCCCGCAACGAGCGCAACCCUUGUCUUUAAUUGCCAUCAUUGAGUUGGGCACUUUAAAGAGACUGCCGGUGUUAAACCGGAGGAAGUGGGAUGACGUCAAGUCCUCAUGGCCUUUAUGCCCAGGGCUACACACGUGCUACAAUGGGUGGUACAGAGGGUUGCAAUACCGCGAGGCGGAGCCAAUCCCAGAAAACCGAUCUCAGUCCGGAUCGCAGUCUGCAACUCGACUGCGUGAAGUCGGAAUCGCUAGUAAUCGCGGAUCAGCAUUGCCGCGGUGAAUACGUUCCCGGGCCUU